Molecule: microRNA, 19 nt
Filed under: Corchorus capsularis
Lineage: Eukaryota; Viridiplantae; Streptophyta; Magnoliopsida; Malvales; Malvaceae
Description: sRNA CCACVL1_15700
Source: RNAcentral
UCCCACAAAAUAAUUAAAU